Molecule: ribosomal RNA, 464 nt
Filed under: uncultured Steroidobacter sp.
Lineage: Bacteria; Pseudomonadati; Pseudomonadota; Gammaproteobacteria; Steroidobacterales; Steroidobacteraceae
Description: bacterial SSU rRNA
Rfam family: Bacterial small subunit ribosomal RNA
Source: RNAcentral
CCUAGGGAGGCAGCAGUGGGGAAUAUUGGACAAUGGGGGCAACCCUGAUCCAGCGACGCCGCGUGGGUGAAGAAGGCCUGCGGGUUGUAAAGCCCUUUCGGUUGGGAAGAAAAGCUGCGACUUAAUACGUUGCGGCCUUGACGUAACCAACUAAAGAAGCACCGGCUAACUCUGUGCCAGCAGCCGCGGUAAUACAGAGGGUGCGAGCGUUAAUCGGAAUUACUGGGCGUAAAGCGCGCGUAGGCGGCUUUUCAAGUCGAUUGUGAAAUCCCCGGGCUUAACCUGGGAACUGCAGUCGAGACUGUCUAGCUAGAGUAUGGGAGAGGGAAGUGGAAUUUCAGGUGUAGCGGUGAAAUGCGUAGAUAUCUGAAGGAACAUCAGUGGCGAAAGCGACUUCCUGGACCAAUACUGACGCUCAUGUGCGAAAGCGUGGGGAGCAAACAGGAUUAGAUACCCCAGUAGUC